GAUGAACGCUGCCGGCAUGCUUAACACAUCAGCGAUGGAUUGUUGGCGGACGGGGGAGUAACGCGUAAAGCACUUACCUCACAGCUAGGGGCAACAUUUGGAAACGAAUCGUAAUACCUAAUACUGUGAGAGAGCUUUGCGUCCCAUUAGCUAGUGGGAGAGGUAACGGCUCACCACGGCGAGGAUGGGUAGCCGGCCUGGGAGGGUGAGCGGCUACAAGGGGACUGAGUGACGGCCCUUACUCAUACGGGAGGCAUCAGUGGGGAAUAGUGGAAAACGGACCAAAGUAUGAUCCAGCAAUUCUGUGUGUACGAUGAAGUUUUCGGAAUGUAAAGUGCUUUCAGUUGGGAAGCGGUACCAACAGAAGAAGUGACGGCUAACUACGUGCCAGCCGCCGCGGUAAUAC
RNAcentral lists this ribosomal RNA (406 nucleotides) under uncultured bacterium. Its description in RNAcentral is "partial 16S ribosomal RNA". It matches the Rfam family "Bacterial small subunit ribosomal RNA", at positions 28 to 526 of the family's 1533-position model. The record is from RNAcentral.